Molecule: ribosomal RNA, 253 nt
Filed under: uncultured bacterium
Lineage: Bacteria
Description: partial 16S ribosomal RNA
Rfam family: Bacterial small subunit ribosomal RNA
Source: RNAcentral
UACGAAGGGGGCUAGCGUUGCUCGGAAUGACUGGGCGUAAAGGGCGCGUAGGCGGCUAGAUAAGUCAGGCGUGAAAUUCCUGGGCUUAACCUGGGGGCUGCGUUUGAGACUGUUUGGCUUGAGUCCGAGAGAGGAUGGUGGAAUUCCCAGUGUAGAGGUGAAAUUCGUAGAUAUUGGGAAGAACACCGGUGGCGAAGGCGGCCAUCUGGCUCGGUACUGACGCUGAGGCGCGAAAGCGUGGGGAGCAAACAGG